GAUGAACGCUGGCGGCGUGCCUAAUACAUGCAAGUCGAGCGAACAGACGAGGAGCUUGCUCCUCUGACGUUAGCGGCGGACGGGUGAGUAACACGUGGAUAACCUACCUAUAAGACUGGGAUUACUUCGGGAAACCGGAGCUAAUACCGGAUAAUAUAUUGAACCGCAUGGUUCAAUAGUGAAAGACGGUUUUGCUGUCACUUAUAGAUGGAUCCGCGCCGCAUUAGCUAGUUGGUAAGGUAACGGCUUACCAAGGCAACGAUGCGUAGCCGACCUGAGAGGGUGAUCGGCCACACUGGAACUGAGACACGGUCCAGACUCCUACGGGAGGCAGCAGUAGGGAAUCUUCCGCAAUGGGCGAAAGCCUGACGGAGCAACGCCGCGUGAGUGAUGAAGGUCUUCGGAUCGUAAAACUCUGUUAUUAGGGAAGAACAAAUGUGUAAGUAACUAUGCACGUCUUGACGGUACCUAAUCAGAAAGCCACGGCUAACUACGUG
Molecule: ribosomal RNA, 497 nt
Filed under: uncultured bacterium
Lineage: Bacteria
Description: partial 16S ribosomal RNA
Rfam family: Bacterial small subunit ribosomal RNA
Source: RNAcentral